Neofelis nebulosa (Clouded leopard) is the source of this 15549-nucleotide long non-coding RNA. RefSeq lists it as uncharacterized. The record is from RefSeq and is a predicted model, not a curated record. NCBI's taxonomy places the organism in Eukaryota, Metazoa, Chordata, Mammalia, Carnivora, Felidae. The transcript is spliced from 2 exons.
GAGAGAGAGAGAGAGAGAGAGAGAGAAAAGUAGGGCUCACCUGAAGCAGGGCUGGUGCUCACCCGAUGUGGGACUUGAACUCAUCAACUGUGAGAUCAUGACCUGAGCCGAAGUCAGAUGCUUAAUUGAGUCACCCCUGUGCCAAUAAUUAAAAAAUUUUAAGGCAUUUUAAUACCAAAAAAUAAUCUCACAAUAGAGGACAAUCUUCUUAAUUGGGAUAAAUUUGGCUUUAUUUUUUUAUUUUUAUUUUUAAAAAAUUUUUAAUGUUUACUUUUGAGAGAGACAGAAUGUGAGCGGGGGAGGAGCAGAGAAAGGAAGACACAGAAUCCAAAGCAGGCUCCAGGCUCCAGGCUCCGGGCUGUCAGCACAGAGCCUGAUGUGGGGCUCGAACUCAUGAACUGUGAGAUCAUGACCUGAGCCUAAGUUGGACACUUAACCAACUGAGCCACCCAGGCACCCCUAAAUUUAGCUUUAUGAACACAAACAUAUCCUUUUAUAAUUUUAUUGAUGGCCAGGGAAGUGUUUUCAGGGAUCAGCAUCUGUAAGUGUGGGAAACAUUGCCAUAUACCUUUGAAAGACUUAUUUUGCCCCUACUCUAGAACUUACUUUAAUCCUCUUCUUAUUUGAAGGGCUACAAAGCUGUCCUUGAUUGUUAGCACUGUUGUGUGGCAAAUGUGGGAAAUUUGUUUCAUCAGUUUCUCUGCCAGCUGUCCUGGAAUAUCCUGGAUGUUUUUCUUUUCAUAUUUCCCUUUUUCAUUUGUUUCUUAGAGUGUAGUUCUUCCUUUGUGUUAUGUCCUCUUUGCCUGCAGUAUUUACAUUUCUCCCCUUGAAUUUUCCAGCCUUCUCUCUUCUCCCUGUUUCUUUUGCUGUUUCAGCUUUGAUUAAACUGUAGUUGAUAGGAAAAGGGUAAUUACAGUGAUAGGCCUAUAACAAGGAAAAUGCAAGUUUCAGAUUUUCAAAGUAAAGUUAGAAAUUGUGUCUUGAACCUUUUAAGCCCUUGAAAGGAUCCUGAAGAUGCCCUCAGAAUCCAUGCAGAAAGUCAUGCAUUUCCUUAUCCUUCUAAAUGAAUGUGUUUUUUCUUCCCAGACAGCAGUAUUUAACUAAUAUUUGAAACAGUAUUGUUUUAUACUGUUUAUAACAAAUGGAAGCUAAGAAGCUAACCACAGUUUCCCUCCUUGAGGGGAACUGUGUUCUGAAUUCCAAUAGACUGUUUUAGAUAGAAUCCAAUUAUGUGUUUAAUGGUCCAAAAUCAAAUCUAAUAUUUCUGAAUGCAAAUGAGUCUAGAAUAUCUGUUUUUCUUAUAUUUGAAAGAUCUGUGCUUUUUCUUCACUGACUUUCUUAUAUACACAUUUCGUAAGUUAAGAAAAAAAGUUGUAGGUUAAGUAAGGAAUGGGUAUAGUUUUCAUUUAACUUCUGAGUUUUUUAAAAUUUUUUAAAUGUUUAUUCAUUUUUGAGAAAGAGAGAGAGCGGGCGGGGAAGGGGCAGAGAGAGAGGGAGACACAGAGAGAGAGAGAGAGAGCGGGCGGGGAAGGGGCAGAGAGAGAGGGAGACACAGAAUCCGAAGCAGGCUCCAAGCUCUGAGCUGUCAGCACAGAGCCUGACAUGGGGCUUGAACUCAUGAAGUUGGACGCUUAACCCACUGAGCCACCCAGGCCCCCUUAACUUCUAAGUUUUUAUAAUAGCGAAUGCUUCCAAUUAAGGCAUUGAAAUGGGGGAGUUAUGUUUCAUGAGGUCUGGUGGAAGACCAGAGCUGUUUUAUGUGAAAGGUGCUGAGUGGGAUGCUUCUGGAGCAGUACUUCCAAUCUCUUUUACCUCAGAACACACUGAAAAGUAAUACUUUGUACAGGACAUGGGGAUAGGAGGUUUUAAACUACAGACAAGCUGCCACUGGACUGGUAGCCCCAGAUGGCUGCCCCAGGAGGUGAGAUAUCAGUAUCUUAAGACUUUCAGCUCUUAUAUUGGGAAGUUCUGCUCUAUAGAGGGCAUUCAGGAGGUCCUAGUCUUGUGAAGAGCUCAAUAUUUACAAGUUAUAACGCAAACAUAUAGUGUUAAGUUAUGAUAGUAUUAUUUGGUGAAAUAGUAAGAAUGGAGGUUAGAUCUGUUUGAGGUGGAAAGGAUCUAGUAAAGGCUCUGUAGAGGGGGUGGUGCAUGGAAGGAAUUAUCUUGUGCAAAGGUAGAGUGGGAGCAAAGGGCAGAGGGAACUUGGGGUCUGCCAAGGAUUUCUGAUUUGGUUGGAGGGUAAGAUUUGGGGAUGCAAAUAGGAAGCAGGAUAGUGGGAAUUACUGUUAAGAAAGUAGGCUGCAGUUGGCUUCAGGAGGGCCUUUAUGAGAUUGAAUGAGCUCAUGACUUUGGGCAACACUGGUGGUGACACUUCCCCUAUUCCUUUUAGGAAAAUCCUUCUGGGGCAGUGUAGAGUGAACUGAAGCCUGCAAGCUGAUACAUCCCUCGGGAGGGAAAGACAUUGAUCCAGGCUAGAUGAGGGAUAAUAAAGGCUUGCACUUUAUUAUUGGUGAAUAGAGGUUGAAAGUGCUUCUUGAAGUGGGAACCCAAAAUUCUGCUUAUUGAUAAGGAGAAAGGUGACUCACAUUUGGAGUCUGGUUGAAGGAAAGGAUGACUCAAGACUAUUUUCAGAAUUAGAGUCUUGUAUAGGUGACAAGGAACUUGAUUUUGGACAUGGGGAUUUUAAGAUGCUUGCAGAAAAAUAAGUGUUAACGUUUAUAAAAUGCUAGGUUCUGAUCUAAGCACAUUUUAAAACUCCUUCUAUUCUCAUAAUAGCCAUAAAAAAGUACGUGUUAUCAGUUAGUGUCCAGUCAGGAAAAUAAAGCGCACGGAAUGUUUUAAGCACCGAAGGGUUUAAUGCAGGAAAUUGGUUACAGUGGUAUUGGAAGAGCUGGAGGAACAAAAAGAAAAAGGUGUGUGUUGGAGCAAAAAGGAGAAGGGAACAAAGAGGAGGAGAAAGGAGAGGAGGAGAGAGUAAGUGCGUGCGUGCGUGCGUGUGUGUGUAGAUGAAUGUUGGAGGAACAAAAAGGAGAAGGAAAUGUUAAUCAGUUGUCAGCUGCUGCAUAAACUGUAUGCUCUACAGAUUUGCUGGAGAUCUUCAUUGGUUCUGCUGCUUUGGAACCCCCACAGAUGCUGCUGGAGCCUCUGGCUGUCUGUUGCUGCUUGUGGAGGUACCACCAGGAACAGGAAACAAAGACAUUUUUCUUGCUCUCACCUUGGAAUCUCCUGCCACCAUAUCCAAGAGGAAGGUAGUUGGUAAAGGGAGUUUGGAAAAUACAGUUUAUAGAUUUCCAGCUCCUAUGUAAUAAUAGAGAAGAGAAGAGAACCAACAGAAAAAUAACCAGCACAGUGGGUACUGUUUUUAUCCUUAUAUUACAGGUGUGGAGACCAAGUCAUGGGAGAAGGUCACACAGAUACAGCUUGGCAGAGUUGAGAUGUGGAUGUAGGUAGUCUGGUUUCAGAGUGUGUGCUCUUAGCCUCUGCACUUUCAUCUUGCCUCCACACAUGGUUAUUAUUUGCUUUUUCUCCUUAUUGCUGAGCACUUCAAAUGAGCAGCUGUUUCCAUUGAUUUUGCUUAUCCUGCACUUACUUUUCUUUGAUAUCUCUUACUGGCAACAGUUUUUCACCUCAACCUCUGGAACCUGUCUUCUGGUCCCUAUUGAUUUUAUAGCUAAUAUAAUGGGUUAUUUCAGUUUCUAUUUGUCUUUAAUCUAUUUCUGACUUUUGAUACGGAUGGAUACCUAUUUAUAUGGGAUUCCAACCUUGAUUUCUAUGAUGCCGACUUGCUUUAUUUUCCCCUUAUCUCACUGAGGCUCUUUGGUUUUUUUCUUUUUCUUCCCAUUCCUUAAACCAUUGCCAUAUCUUGCCUUGAGUUUGGAUUUUAGUGUAUUUUAAGAAGCUGCUUAAUGUUAAUUUUAUAUUUAAAUCAGGACCAAUAAAAUCUUCAUGUAUACAGUUCUUAUGACCUUUUUCCUUUGUGUGUUAUGAAGUCAGACAAGUCAGAGCAGGGUUUCAAUUUGUGUUCUGCCCUGGGCAAGGAGGAGGAGAGUAGGAUGACUGAAGGAGACAGUCUCACUCUGAGUAUCUACUAUGUACCAGCACUGUGCUAAGUGCUUCAAAUGUGUUGCUUCAUUUAAGUUCUCCUGUGUGAGAUUGCUUGUUUGUUACCCUUAUUUACAGAUGAAGAAACUAACUCUUUGUGAUGAACCAGUAAUAGAACUGAGGUUGAAACCCUCAUCUGAUUUGCUCUGACAGCCAGAUUCUUUCCUCUGGACCACCUGGGAGAAGCUCCUACUUUCUUAUCUGUUAAGUGAAGAAACUGGGCAAGAUCAGUUUUAAGGCCCAUUUCAGUAUCAUCGUUCUGAUUUUGUCACAAACUAGUGUCGCAAGCAGUAGUUGCUUCUCGUAUUGAAAAAGGAAGUUGCCUUCCCACUCCACGAAACAUCCUGUUUUAUUAAGAUCAAGAGUACUAAUGUGUUAUUUGUAAAAGUUAUGAAGUAGGGCACAGGCAUUUAAAGUAGUCAUGAUGAUAGAUCUUCAUGUAAGUUGCAAGAGAGCCCCAUUACCUCCAAAUGAGGCUGCUGCCUAGAACAUUAGAGGCUGUGGCUUUUAUUGACAGGUGCUCAGAAUAAUAGCUUUGGAACAACUCCAGUCUAAACAAAAGGGCAAUCCAGUUAUUCCAUUAUACUUUAUGCUGAAAGCAUGUGCUUCCAGAUUAAGAAUCCCUUUCUUUGGAUGGAAUUUAGUGUGAGAUUUGCAAGAAGAUAGUGCAAAAUACAUUUUAAAGAUAAAGUUCACUGUAAUAUGGUUUGAUUUCUUUAUAAAGCCAGUGGACAACCCUAAAAUGGUUAACUGUCAUGUGAUUCAUCCAUGUCUUGCCAUCACACAUGCAAAUAGAUGGUUUAAGUGGAUACCAACAUCUUCUCUUGAUAUAAAGGACCCAUUAUAAAAUACUCAUCUAAGUAUUCCUACACACACACACACACAUAUCAUUAGGAUAAGUGCAAGUGCGUUUUGGAGCACCUGGGUGACUCAUUCUGUUAAGCGUCUGACUAUUGAUUUCAGCUCAGGUCAUGCCUGAUCUCAUGGUUUGUGAGUUCGACCCCUGUGUCAAACCACGCUUCGGGCCCACACUGACAAUGCAGAGCCUGCUUGUGAUUCUCUCUCUCUUCUCUCUGUCUGUGCCUCCCUAUCUUCCUCCCUCUUCCUCUCUCUCAAAAUAAAUAAAUAAGCUGAAAAAAAAAAUAGAGUAUGUUUCCAGAUUCCGUAGAAUUUGUUUUAUCUUCUUUACUCAUAAACAUCCUCCAGCCCUCCCUCAUUCAUGUUUUAUUUUGUAAAAAUGGGAAAUUGAAAUGUUUAUACCUCUGUUUUUAACUUUUAGUUUUAUUGACUUUGCCUGCUUUAGAGGAAGCCUGCAGGGGAAUCUCGGCUCCCUGGCCACUCCUUCCUUUGGUUUAGGUGGUUGGUUCUUCCUUUAGCAAACCUCUAACUAUAUGUGUCCCCGGCACCUGAGGCUGGGCUAUUUUCUCCUACGUAGGUGAUACCAAUCACCCCCAAAUUCUUCUAUGCUACCAAGUGAUGAUUACUACCCAAUUUUGGUUUCCAGGUCUGACUGCUCUCCUGGUUGCUUAUUUACUUCUUAAGUCUAUUUAGAUUUGGUGGGAAUUUCAUGCCAUACAUUGGAAUGUAACAUAUUUUAUCGAUUAUAUUAAUGAACUUAACUAUUUUAUUUUUUUAUUAAAAAAAUUUUUUUAAUGUUUAUUUUUGAGACAGAGAGAGACAGAGUGUGAGUGAGGGAGGGGCAGAGAGAGAGGGAGACAUAGAAUCCGCUCCAGGCUCUGAGCUGUGAGCACAGAGCCAGACGCAGGGCUCGAACCCAUCGACCACGAGAUCGUGACCUGAGCCGAAGUCAGACACUCAACCAACCGACCGAGCCACCCAGGCGCCCCUGAACUUAACUAUUUUAAAAGAUUCCAUUGUGGAAUGUCAUGUUCAUAAACGUAGGUAAUAACAAGGGUUUGGGGUUAAAAACAGGAAUUUGUUUCUGUGGAAAUAAUUCCUAGACCACCUUCUUGGGUGGGGAAUGAAUGACUUGCUGAAUUUUGAAAAAUGGCAAAUUUUGAGAAAUGGCAGUUAUAAGGGUAUGACACAGAAAUAUAGCAGUGCUUGAUAUAGUUGCUGUAAUAAAAGUGGAAUAUUUUAAACUUUGUUCACAUUUGACAGCUUCUAUUUUUUGAGGUAUCUCAAAUACAUUUUGUAUGAUCACCUCCAUUUCACCCCUCCCUUGUGUGCUUUUAUUUUAAUCCAGCGAAGCCAGCCUCACAGUAAACAGUGUGAUUAUAUUCUCUUCUAACACUUAGUGGUUUUUGGUACUUAAGUUUGUCUAAUGGGCCCAUCACUAAAAGUCAGAGUCAUUUCUCUCUGCUGCCUUGAUAGAGAGCAUGUGGGUUUGCGUGGGGCUGCCUUGCAACACAGCACUGAGUUGUAGUGUGCAGAAAAGCUGUUCUCUUGAUCCACUACACCUGGCAGUCCCCGGGCAGGUGUGUCUAAGAUGAGGAUGUUUUCAAUGUACUUUAGUUCCUCUUCAAUACGGUGCCUCAGACCCCAAGACCUAUCUCUUACUUGUAUUAGGCAUCACCUCUUACCUCCCUUAACCCUUAUAGUGAGCCAGAGGAAGAGGGUUGUUUGUGUUUUUGUGGACUCUUUUGGGCAGUGCAGUGUACUAGCCUGCCUUCCCUCACCAUCUUUGUGUAUCUGAUUUGAUGGAGCCGUAGCAGUGGCCCAUUCUAGUGUGCUCCAGCAAGACCCUGCUUAUCUGUAAGCCUAAAACGUAGGGUAUUUUCUACACUUUUGAAAAAAAAAAAAUAUCACAAGCUGACUAAGCAAAAAAAAAAAAAAAAAAAAAAGCACUCUAAAAAUUCCGGCCCUAUUUUCCUCUUACCUAAUUAGGAGACCCUAAAUCCUCCUUUACAAUCUGUAUUUCUUCUUAAGAGAUCAUUUUAGAAAGUCUGACUGUUUCCCUUUCUAGUUAACAGUGUAUUUGAAGGAGAUGUGGAAGAGGGGAAAGAAGGGUAAGCUCCAUAUAGGCAGGUUAGCAUCCAAGAGUGCCAGCUUGAGAAAGUGAUAGUUUGAGAAAGUAAAACCUUAAAAAAAAAAAACAAAAAAAAAAAAGAUUCAAGAACUCACCAAAAGCAUUUUGAGGCCAUUUGGUGUGAGACCAAAGCCCCCAACACCUCACUCUUCCUUGAAGAAUCACUGUGCUAUUGCUUACUGAUCUUCUUGAGUCCUCUACUUGAGUCAGUUCUGUUUACCAAGCAUAUUACACACUCUCUCCUCAUAACAGCUCCAUCAUGCAAGAACUGUUGUAUCAACUCUUACAUUUAUUUUGUAGCUGAGAAAAGUGAGAGAUUUUUUUCUCUAGCUUUUCCAAGACUCAUUGAGCAGGGGAGCUAGCAUAUGAAUCUUGGUAGUCGGAUUCCAGAGUUCGUGCCUUUCCCAUAAUCUCCAGUCCCCAGAAGAGAACAGGCCAGAGCACAGGGAGGCAGUAUAAUAUAGUGGUUAGACUUUCUAGCUUCAGAUUGUAGUUCUGUUACUUUCUGAUUUUUUUAACUAAUGUUCAUUGCCUCUGUUUCUGUAUUUAUAAAAUAUUGCACUGGAUUUUAAAGUUGUUUGUACUUACAUCAUAGGGUUAUUGUGAGGAUUCAGUGAGACUUUGUAUGUAAAUAACGCAGUGCCCAGCACAUAUUAAGAGCUCGGAACACGUUAGCUACUAUACUUUAUAUAAAAUACAGUUACUAAUGAUUCACAGCAGACACAUAAGUAAUUUUUUUAUAUUUAAGAAGAUAGAUGUUUAAUACAUCCUAGGAACAUUUUACGCAGCUGAAAUAUUUAAAGAGUAUUAAUACUUACACAGGGUCAUCAUUUAUCACUAUAAGUUAGGAUAAUUGGCAUUGCCAUUUUAGAUACUGAGAUGUUGUUUUGCUUGAUGUAUAAACAUUAGAAAAGAAGGUGAAACAAAACCUUUCAGAGGUCUGCCUUUGAUUUUCCUUUAUGGUAUUUGCUCCUGAACUUUUAAAUAAAUCCUUAAAAAAAAAAGUCAGGGCUUUGGCUCAGUAGGAGGCUUACCUUUUUAAUUAUCAGUUUGCCUUUUGGGUAAAGAACUGUGGGUUUUCUAUUAUGUGUGUCAUUAGAUGAAACAAGUCUUACUGCUGGCUGGCUACCAAGAAAGGACAUAUAUCAGGGAUGUCAUCACAAAGUUUCCCUUUGAUCACAUUGCCUGCACAAGAUGCAAGUCCAUCAGCUCUCUGAUGGAGCUCUGGCACGGAGAGGAGAGGCAUGCAAAAGUGUCCUUCACCCCAAAGUGUACUUUCUGCUUUGCCAUUUAAUAGCUAUGUGAACUUGGGCAAAUCACUUAAGCUUUCUGAACCUCAGCUUCAUCGUUUAAUACCUGCCUUGCUUAAGUUAAAAGGUUGGUUGGAAUGUGAGGUGGCAUAUAAUAUGUGAAGGGAGCACCUUGAGGGAGUGCUAUAAAGAAAGGUCUAGAUACAUUUUAGUUAUCAAAUAUUUUAUAUAUGAUGCCUUUUUAAAACUAUGAAGUGUUGUACAAAUGUUUGUUGGUGGUUUUAGCAAUCACUUCCUUUGGUACUAGAUACAGAUUCAUGUGUUGUUAUAAGAUCUGAAGACCCAGUAGUUUUAGUAAUAAAUGUGGCAGUUCUUGGGGAGCUAAAUCUCACAUUCCCUAUCCUAGAAUUUAUCUCCUAUAACAAUCAAAAGGUCUCUGAGCAUAGGUAAGUGAAAGCCCAAGUUGAAUGAAAUAAUUUUAUCAUUGGGUUAAACUUCAUAAAUGAGCCUUUUGUUAACCAUUAUUUAAGAAAAAAACAAAACUUUUAAAAAUAUUUAUUCUUUGAGAGAGAGCGAGAGCGCGCAAGUGCUAGCACAUGAGCAGGGGAGGGGCAGAGAGAGGGAGACACAGAAUUCAGAGCAGGUUCCAUGCUCUGAGCUGUCAGCACAGAGCCCUACGUGGGGCUUGAAUUUGCAAGCCAUGAUACUGUGACCUGAGCUGAAGUCAGGCGCUUCACUGACUAAGCUACCAAUCACAUUUUUAAAAGUUUAUUUAUUUUGAGAGAGAGACAGAGAGAAAGAAAGAUUGGGUGAGGGGCAGAGAGAGAGAGGGAGAGAGAGAAUCCCAAGCAAGCUCUACGCUAUAGCAUGGAGCCUGACGUGGGCUCGAUUUCAUGAACUGUGAGAUCAUGACCUGGGCCAAAAUCAAGAGUUGGAUGCAUAACCAACUGAACCAUCCAGGCAUCCCAGCCACCAUUUCAUGUAAUAGCUAAAAGAAACAGGUCUCAAAGUCUCUUGUAAUAAAUGUAUUGAUUUAUGGUUGGCUAGAAUUGAUCUUCCUAGUGUCAAGCUUAGGGUGACAUGGAGGUUUAGCUGGACUUUUUUUUAGUCAUUUGGGUAGGCUAUCCAGUUCUUUCAGAAAUGUUCCAAUACUGUGCACAGGUGUUAUUGGAUGUGGACAGCCUAUGUAUGUCUGCUUACUUGAGUUGUGGUUUGUGAUUAUCCUCACUUGUGGGACAUUAGUGUUUCCUCUACUCAAGCAUAGCUCUGUAUGCUUGUGUAAGAACCAAACUCCCUGUGGUCUCAGGAACUGUCCUGCUAGCAUGGGACACAUUAUUAAGAUUUAGAAUAUUAUUAAAUAUGAUUUUUACCUAACAAAGUUUUUUCUUAGUACAAGUAGCUCUUUUCCAGCAGACAUUUUGCUAAGUACUGAGGAUGUCAGAUUUUACAAAAAAACUAGAAAAUGGAGGCUGUAGCAUAAGUCACAUAAUAAAACAUACCAGGUUAAAAAUCAAAUGGCUUUCCGACUGCAUUUAAAAUAAAAUAACUAGUGGAGUAAUUUCUAAAGUCCUAGGUAGGCUCACAAUCAAUUGUGUUUUGCAUCCUUUGUACAGUGGAAUUUGGAUCAUACGUAACAAAUUACCUGAGGAAUCUUUAUUGUACUUUCUAUUUUUCUUUUUUGGGAAAAGAAUGUCAAAGAACACUCAAAUUUCUGUUCUUAUAUUUUAAAUUUGCACAUGGUCUGUAAAGCACUCAUUUUUCAAAGAUUUAUUAAAAUAAAAGUAAUUAAACCACAUUUUGAGAUUUUUGCACGAUAGUGGGGGAAAAACCAUUCUGUACCAUCACAUUAACCAACUAUAGUCUAAUUUUAGUGUUUUUCUUUUUUGUAUUUUCCUGUGCAUUAAAAAGGGGUUUCUAUCAUCUGUACAUUUUUGUAUCCAGCUCUUUUUUGGUUUGACAAUGCAAUGUAUGAAAAGCAGUUUUCUUGGGGCUCCUGGUGGCUCAGUUGGUUAGGUGUCCCACUCUUGAUUUUCGCGCAGGUCAUGGUCUCUCAGUUCUUGAGAUACAGCCCCACAUCGGGCUCUGUGCUGACAUUGCAGAGCCUGCUUGGGAUUGUUUUUCUCCCUCUACGUCGCUGCCCCUUCCCAGCUCAUGGGCUCUCUCUCUCUCUCAAAAUAAAUAAAUGAAUGUUAAAAAAAAAAGAGAAUAUAUUAGAAAAAUAUUUUUCUUUUUAUAUACCUGUUAUAAUUAUUUUUUAUUUUUUUGAUGUUUUAUUUAUUUUUGAGCGAGAGAGAGAGAGAGAGAGAGAGUGAGUGUGUGUGUGUAAGUGUGUGUGUAAGCAGGGGAGGGGCUAAGAGAGAGGGAGACAUAGAAUCUGAAGGAGGCUCUGACCUCCGAGCUGUCAGCACAGAGCCUGAUGCCGGGCGCGAACUGUGAGAUCAUGACCUGAGCCGAAGUUGGACACUUAACCGACGGAGCCACUCACGUAUCCCAAGUUUUCAUGACUGACGAUGUAUAAUAAACCAGUGGAUUUAUCCCAUUUUACACGACCAUAUUUUUCUUAUUUUGGACAUAUUUUGGUUGUUUCCAGGUUUUCAUUUUAUGAAUAAUUGCCAGAAAAGCAUCUUUGAGCAUAUGUAGUAAGCACCCCCCUCUGCUCUGUCCAUAUUUUAUCCCCCCCCCCCCCCCCCCCCGCCUUAGAAUAGACAUCUAGAAGUGGACGCUGUGGAUGAAAGGGCAUGGGGAUGUUUUUAAGGCUCUGUGUACAUAUUGCCAAAUUCCCUGCCAGUUUCACACACCACUUACCAGUUCUAGAUAUUACUGUGGUUUUAAGUUUUUGCCCAGUUAGCAAGUUACCAAAGUUGGCAUAAAACAAAAGUUACCUGUUGUUUUAAUGUGAAAUUUUUGGGUCACUCGGGAAGUUGAAUAUUUUCCUGUGUGUUUGCUUAUUAGUCACAUUUCCUAUUUCAGGAAUUUUAUUCCUGUCCUCCUCACCUGUUAGUAAAGGUUGGGUAAAGGAACACAGUGGUGGAAAGCAUGAGUUCUGGAGACAGUUGGCUCAGUCCCCACCUCGCAUCUGCCCCCGGGAGUGGGGGAUGUUGGGCAGGUGUUACCAUCUUGCCAAGAUUUUAGUUGCCAUUUUUGGACAUUUGUAAGAUUUUUUUUACUUUCGGAAUUUAAACAAUUUUCCAUUGUGCUUUCUUUUCUAAGUAUAGAGAAUGUUUCUCACCUUUCCAGAAGUUUAAUACUCAGUUCUAUUUUUGUUCUCUUUUUAAAAAUUAUCUCUUUACUGAGAUUUUAUUUUUAUGUUGUAAGCUCCUAUAAAAUGGAUCACUUUCCUAAGUGCCCGUGCUUAUUAUGAAGGCAUAAGAGAUGUUCCUCAGGAAUGAAAUUUGUCAUGUUUGAAAUUUCAAAAUUGGCACUGCAUUUGUAGUACAACUAAAUGUUCAGAAGUUAAUGUCUUCACCUAAAUCACUUUUAUUUUAGAGAAACCUGGUCAGAGAACCAGAAUUUAUUGGGUGUAUUAGCUAGUGUUUGGCAUGGUGAUUUGUUAGGGUUUGGAUAUUACAAACAGUUUUAUUGGUUCAGAAGUAUUUGGUGAGAUAUUUAUCUUUGAUUUUUUUUUUUUCUCUAAAGGUGAGUGUUAUAUAGGAAUCUGUACUUGAGAAACACGUGGCCUGUGUACAGUGUCCAGGGAGCAAUUAGAAGGGCAGUAUGUUAAAUCUCUUGCCUCAAGGCAAAACCAUUAGUUGUGCUGUGUAUGAGCCUCAAGGGGUGUAAAUAACCAGACCAUUCAUGAAAUCAUCAGUUUCCUUUUAUUUCAAGGCAACUGUAAAACCUUUAAUCUGUGGAAGAAUCAGAGGAAGUUGACCUAUUGGAUUUACAGAUUAUUUUCCUUUAUGUGAUUGUUUUGAGAAAGUAUAUUUCAGAAUUUACCAAUUCCUGGUUGAACAUUAGGAAUAUGAACUUUGAAUUCCAUUUUCUGUUUUGAUGUGAGCAUCCUAAAGUUCUGAUAUGAUUUAAAUGCAUGCAGACUUCUCUUAUGAACUCUUGUAUGUCUACGUAAAAGAUUUUCGGAUUGAUUUUAUUUUUUUAGAGAUUUAUUGUUGAUGUUUUUUGUUAAUUUAUUAGAGCUUAUCUUUAGGAGCAAAGAAAUUCCAUUUAUUGAUGGCUGAUAUUUCUCACUACCUUAAUAAGACAGAUCAUCCUCAGAAAUGAACAGCAAUCCAGUUUGUUUUCUGUAUUAAUUUGGGGGACAUUAUCAAAAGGGGAAGGGAUAACUCUUUUUUCCGUAUUACGGUUGUGUAUAAAUACCGUUUAAACAUUAGGAAGGCUUUUCUUCUUUACAAAAAAUUCUCAUUUGACACCCAAGCCUUCCCACUUCAUUCUGUCCCUCAGUAACCUUUCUUGUUUGUUUGUUUUCAUAUUUGUAUUUCUUGGAAGAGUGAUGUCACUCUGUUUCUUCACCUUCAGCUUCAUUCCUCAGUCCUCUGCCCUCUGGUCUUUGUCCCUGUCACUCCACUGAAGCUAUGCCUGUUAAGGAUCCCAGCGUCACUGAAUGCAAUGUGUUCUUCUCAUUUUCAUCUUAUUUAACAGCUGAACAACACUGAACGAAGCUGACCUGACCGCUCUUUCUAGUAACAUAGUCUUCAGUUGACUUUUAUAAUUCUAAACUCUCUUGGUUUUUCUCUUGCCUCUCAGGUUAACUCUGCCUCUCUUUGCUGGGUCACCUUCUACCCAUGUUUCUGGGCCCUUUCCCUACUCUUAACCUACUCUGAAAAAUUCCACAUUCUAGCUUCAAAUCUUUACUUCUCAUGAGCUCCAGCAGUCUGUAGUCUGUUCACUGGAUGUCUUUACUUGCUUCCAGCACUUGUGCCUCAAACUUAGUAUUUUCCUUACAAACUUGCCUUUCCCUAUAUGUCCCCUAGUUCUAUAAAUGGCACCUCAUCCUCUGGGUUCAAGCCAUCAGUGUCUUAGCAUUGCUACUUCUUCAGUAUAUGUAAAACAGAUCCUUUCUUGGUCACUACUGCUGCUACCCAAAGUCCAGCCAUUAUUGAUCUGGUUCAUUGCAAUAAGUUUUUCUGUAUCUUCCCAUGCCAUACGACCACUAACCCUUCCUCUAUACUGUACACAGAUAAUUUUUAAAAAGCCAUUAUGAUCAUGUUCUUUCCCUAUUUAAAAUCUCUUUGAGGCUAAAAUGUAAAAUUCUUAACUGUUGUCUGUAAGUCUCUGCUUGAUCUAGCCCUGCAUACAUCUUUAAUCUCAUAUCUUGCUCCCCUCACCUUUCGACAGAGAGAAUACAUUUUUCUUGAUAUCUAAGACUUGUAGCAUUAAAAUUACAGGAUAUAGUAGUAAUGAAUGUUUUGGUUUUAAAAUACUGCUUAUAAAAUUAUUCUUCAUUUUUCUGUACUUUUUCAUGUGUAGGCAUAUGUAUAUUAAAUGAGAUAGUGUAUGUUAAGGUGUUUAUAAUUUGUAAAUGUUAAUAUAAAAUAUUGUUUCUCUCAACUUUUUGCUCCCAUCCAUCAUUCCUUUUGCUUCCAUCUACAUGAUGGUAAAAGAUACUAUACAUGUGGUAACAAUUCUGUAGGAAUGUUGGGGUAGAAUGGACAUGAUUUUCCAAUUUAGAGCAUCCUUUGAAUGGGAAAUUAGGAAACAGUCCAUAAAAUAAAUCUUUACGAUAGGUGUGAUAUGUUUUGAAGAAAAGGUUGCUUAGAACCUGGUCUAGAUCAUCUGUAGAAGCCUUUUUCAGUUCUUUACUCUUGUGUCUGUAGCUUCCAUUUUAAGAAAACAUAUGGUGACCAUAGAAUAACUUCCUAUUUAUGUUUAAUCUAUGGAUAAACUCAGUGAAUGUGCUGUUUUAGCAGUACUUCUGACUUUCAGACAUUUUCAUAUGACCCUUUUGUCUGUAGGAGGAGGGUUAAGGCCAAACACCACCACUACCUGUGAAGAAGACCAUCAUCUUGUGACUGGAGAUAUGCUAAUGUGAAAUAUGAACGCUUUAACUAAGUCUUGAAUCACACCAUUAGUACUCAGGGGAACAAAAUUGCCAGGGAUUGGGGUUGUUGCUUAAAUGAGCUCCCCAAGUUUGUCUGUAAACUAGAAGUGACCCUAAUAAAAAUUCCAAAAGGGUUUUCUUUGGCUAGACAAACUAAUGUUAAUUAAUAUAGGGAAAAAAAAAAAGUGAUGAGAGGUAGAGCCAGCCCUAUAAGAUAUCGAAAGGUAUUAUUAAGCUACAUUAAUUAAAACUGUGUGAUGAAGGCACAUGUGUAGAUCUACAGAUCAAUGGAAUAAAGUAGAAAUACUGGAAAGAGACCUCAAAACACAUAGGACAUGAUAAAAUUGGCAUCUCAAAUCAGUGCUGAAAUUUAUUCAGUAAGUGGUGUUGGCAUAACUGGGGAGCCAACUGGAAAAAAAAUAAAGUGGAAUGUAUAAUUCAUACUUCUACCAGAAUGAAUUUUAAGUAGAUCAUGCUUUAAAUUUAAAAAGCAAAGUCACAAAAGAAAUAGAACUAAAUAGGAGAGAAAUUUUUUACAAUUUAGAAUGAAGUAGGUUUUCCCAACUUUGAUACAUAACUCUGAGGCAAUAAAAGAAAAAGACUCAUAAGUUAGUUAGACUUUAUAAAAAAUGAAUGUUUCUGCAUAUCAAAAACUAACACAAGCAAAGUCAAAAGAUAAGUUGAGAAAACAUUUAACUCCUCAAAGAUUAUAGGAGAUUUUCUUUAUAUAUAAAAUUUUUCUACAAAUCGUAAGAAAAAGACCAAAUUCGUAGAAAAAUGAGCAAAGGAUAUGUGUGGAGAUUUCAUGUAAAUGAGAUACAAAUGGCACUAAAUCUAAAGGUACUUAUUUUAUGAGAAAUGCAAAUUAAAACUGCAUCAGAUGCCCUUUAAAAACAACCCAUCACAUUGAUAAAAUAAAAAAUUUAACACAUUGUUAGCAUAGGUUAGAUAGGUGUGGGGUUAUAAACUGGCACAGUCUUUAUGGAGGGCAACUUGAUAGCAUCCAUUAGAUUUAUAAAUGUACAGACCUCUUUGACGUAACAGUUCCACAUCCAGGAAUUUAGCUUAUGCUGAAUUGAAAUGAAGUAGCUUAUUGAAGCAUUGUUUAUGGUAGCAAAACUCUGGAAACAACCUAAAUGUUCAUUAUGGAAGACUGGUUAAAUAAAUUAUGGUCCUUCCACAUAAUGGAAUAUUGUGCAGUUGUAAAAGAACAA